Long non-coding RNA from Cottoperca gobio, 2666 nucleotides. Ensembl annotates it as protein PXR1-like. NCBI's taxonomy places the organism in Eukaryota, Metazoa, Chordata, Actinopteri, Perciformes, Bovichtidae. The record is from Ensembl.
UAUGUUGAUAACAUCCCUUCCCUUUUAACUUGUCUCCUCCUGGUGUCUCCUCAGGGCUGGGAGGAGAGCUGUGACGCCGCUGUCUCCCACCUCCUGCGGAGCUGCCUUUCACGGAGCCCCAAGGACCAGGCCACGUCUCUGGCCCAGCAAGGAGGCUCCGUGCUGGGCCUGCCCCGCGACACAGCCCGCCUCAAGAAGCACAUCACCCUUAUGUGCGACCGCAUCAGCAAGGGAGGCCGCCUCACCCUGGCCUCUGAGGCAAACGUCCCCGUCCCCAUCCAAGUCCAGAACCUGGCUGCUCCCGGAGGGGUUGAGCCCAUAGCGGAGGUGGCUGCAGACGGGGAGGAGCUGGAACCUCCACAGGAAGCGACAAAGUUCAUCAAGAAGAAGCAGCCGUCUAAGAAAGUCAAGAAAGAUAAAGAGAAGAAGGAGGCGUCAAAGGAGUCGUCAGAGGCCACCGUGAAAGAGGAAGUGGGAGGCGCAGAAGAGCCAAUCAAGGAGGCGAAAAAGGAGAAGAAGGAGUCAUCCAAGGAGAAGAAGGAGCCGAAGAAAGAUUCAAGCAAAGAGCCGAAGGAGGAGGCGAAGAAGGAGUCCAAGAAGGAAUCAUCCUCCUCCAAGGAGAAGAAGGAGAAGAAGGAGAAGGACAAAGACAAGGAAGGGAAGGAGGCCAGCAAGGAGUCAGGGGAGAAGAAAGUGCCCAGGAAGUCGUCCGUAAAAGUGAAAGAGAAGAAGAAGGAGCCGGAGGCUGGUGAGGGCUGACAGGAGCCGUGCAAUAAGCUCACAUAUACACACACACACACACACACACACACACACACACACACACAUAAAUAUGCAUACGUGUGUACACAGUGUCCAUGUAAACGUAUACAAGGCCACAUAACUCGACACACACACACACUCACAUAUGCAGUCUUAAUAUAUAUUUACAUGUAAAUAUGCUCCGGCAACGCCACAUAUGUCACAAUCAAAGCAAUUUCCUGUCAGACGCAUAUUUACAUCAUCUAGUAAUAGCUGAUCCACACACACACACACACACACACACACACACACACACACACACACACACACACACACACACACGUUCUGUGUCUCUGGGCUGCUGCUGCUGCACCACAUCCACUAGUGUUGGGGUGUGUGUGUGCGCUGGGCAGCUGUGGUGAAGGCGAAUCCUCCUCCUCUCCUCAGACAUUUCGCUGACUCUCUCCUCCUCCUCCUCCUCCUCUUCCUCGUCUUCGUCUAGCCCCAGCAGCAGUUGAACCCACAGCCCUGCGCCUCCCUAAUCCCAUUCAGGCCCCAAACCACCCCUUCCGCCCACGCACCCUUCUGGAUGUGACGUCAGACCCGCCCUCUCGCCCCCUCGCGUGGCACCAGGCCUCGCAGAGCCUCCCCCGCCUCGCCGCUAAGAAUAAAUGGCCUGCCGUGUCCAGCAGCCCUGUUUCUUCCCGGGUAAAUCAAGGCCACAUCCUACAGCCUCCACCACCACCACCCCUUCUGACCUCUUCCAGUCAGUUCAGGUUUUUAAAUCUGGAACACUCAAGGACACGCGGCUGCUGAUGGAUACAUACCCGGUGCUGCGGGGUCCAACCUUUCGCACAGUGGAAACCAGCAGGGCGUGUUCUGGAAAAAGCAGGGUGGCAAUCAGGAGGGCAGAAGAGCCAGUUUAACACCCGAGGCUUCUUCUGCUCAUCUUCAGGAACACCAUGAAGGGGAGGCUGCGUCUGAAAUACACUGCGAGGCACUUGUGUCGUCUGUAACAUAGUUACUGCACGUGAGGUCAGGUGUGGUGCUGUGGCAGAGGAAAGUAACAUAUCGUUCUUACUUGUACUCGUAUCUGGUCCCGCAGAUAGUUUGGUUUGUUCUGAGUAGAGUAUCAUUUAUUGAAACGGUCAAAUACCUAAUCUGAGUUAUUCUUUAUUCAGUUGUUCACUUUGUACUCAGGCGAAGUCCUCGUGUGGCCGCAUGUGUUAGGACGACAUUUCAAAUGUGCAGAAAGUAAUCAGGAGCUUUAAAGUAAAACAUGUGAAACACAAACGCUCACGUCUUCGCUGUUACAGACUGGAACCUGUGGACUUUGGACACACACACACACACACACACACACACACACACACACACACACACACACACACACACACAUCAUUUAGGAGCUUUGAGACGUUUCUCUGCCAGACUUGAAGCUUCUCGACUUCAGCCAUAGAUGCUGUGCCAGCUUAACACAGGACGAUCAGCAGCUCUGCAACACUACAAGUCUGCAGCGUGUCUGCAGCGUGUCUGCAGCGUGUCUGCAGCGUGUCUGCACGUUCGGCCUCAGGCCUUCUGCCGACUGGGAAACUUGCAGCUGGUCUCAUGUCUUUUUUUCCUUUCGUGUUUUUAAAUGAUAAAUAUUUGGACUUUUAGUGCGGAAUAAGAAUAGAUGAACUCAUCCUUGCCAAGAAGGAGAGAUAUCCAAGUGUGUGUUACAGAGGUUCCCACUGGACACGAGGUCCAGAACACGUGAAUGUUUGUGAUAGGUUCUGCUGUAUUAGCUGUUCAGGUACCGGACUCCUGCUCCGAGUCUGCUUUUAUAGACGAGUCAUGUGUGUGCAGCCGGAAGAAGUAUCUGUGGAAUAUUUAGUAAUAAAAGUAAUCUACUGUAAGAAAUCAAAGCCUUCCGUUAGUGCUUA